RNAcentral lists this ribosomal RNA (422 nucleotides) under uncultured bacterium. RNAcentral's name for it is "bacterial SSU rRNA". It matches the Rfam family "Bacterial small subunit ribosomal RNA", at positions 917 to 1344 of the family's 1533-position model. The record is from RNAcentral.
GGGCCCGCACAAGCGGUGGAGCAUGUGGUUUAAUUCGAUGCAACGCGAAGAACCUUACCAGGGCUUGACAUACUACAAAUUCUUUGAAAAGAGAAGUGCCUUCGGGAAUGUAGAUACAGGUGGUGCAUGGCUGUCGUCAGCUCGUGUCGUGAGAUGUUGGGUUAAGUCCCGCAACGAGCGCAACCCUUAUUUUAGUUGCCAUCAUUUAGUUGGGCACUCUGAAAGAACUGCCAGUGAUAAGCUGGAGGAAGGUGGGGAUGACGUCAAGUCCUCAUGGCCCUUACGUGUUGGGCUACACACGUGCUACAAUGAUAUUUACAACAGGAUGCAAGAUGGCGACAUUAAGCAAAUCCUAAAAAGAUAUCUCAGUUCGGAUUGCACUCUGCAACUCGAGUGCAUGAAGCUGGAAUUACUAGUAAUCG